This 27-nucleotide unclassified non-coding RNA is filed under the name Saccharomyces cerevisiae (brewer's yeast). RNAcentral describes it as "RNA (27-MER) from Saccharomyces cerevisiae (PDB 6EZ0, chain A)". The record is from RNAcentral. Lineage: Eukaryota; Fungi; Ascomycota; Saccharomycetes; Saccharomycetales; Saccharomycetaceae.
GGAGCGGGGGUGUAAACCUAUCGCUCC